RNAcentral lists this ribosomal RNA (619 nucleotides) under Porpidia flavocaerulescens. Its description in RNAcentral is "LSU rRNA". It matches the Rfam family "Eukaryotic large subunit ribosomal RNA", at positions 33 to 667 of the family's 3401-position model. Lineage: Eukaryota; Fungi; Ascomycota; Lecanoromycetes; Lecideales; Lecideaceae. The record is from RNAcentral.
ACUAAGCAUAUCAAUAAGCGGAGGAAAAGAAACCAACAGGGAUUGCCUCAGUAACGGCGAGUGAAGCGGCAACAGCUCAAAUUUGAAAUCUGACCCCUUCGGGGCCCGAGUUGUAAUUUGUAGAGGAUGCUUCGGGUGCGGCGCCGGUCUAAGUUCCUUGGAACAGGACGUCAUAGAGGGUGAGAAUCCCGUAUGCGACCGGCGGCCAACCCCGUGUGAAGCCCCUUCGACGAGUCGAGUUGUUUGGGAAUGCAGCUCAAAAUGGGUGGUAAAUUUCAUCUAAAGCUAAAUACCGGCCAGAGACCGAUAGCGCACAAGUAGAGUGAUCGAAAGAUGAAAAGCACUUUGGAAAGAGAGUCAAACAGUACGUGAAAUUGUUGAAAGGGAAGCGCUUGCAACCAGACCUGCCCGCGGGCGAUCAGCCGUUAUUCUUAGCGGUGCACUCGUCCGCGAUCAGGCCAGCAUCGGUUCGGGCGGCCGGAUAAAGGCCUCGGGAAUGUAGCUCCCCCCGGGGAGUCUUAUAGCCCGGGGUGCAAUGCGGCCAGCCCGGACCGAGGACCGCGCUUCGGCUAGGAUGCUGGCGUAAUGGUUGUAAGCGACCCGUCUUGAAACACGGACC